Molecule: long non-coding RNA, 5872 nt
Organism: Equus quagga
Lineage: Eukaryota; Metazoa; Chordata; Mammalia; Perissodactyla; Equidae
Exons: 3
Source: RefSeq, a predicted model, not a curated record
GGAGAAGGACAAGAAGAAAAAAAAGAUUGGCAACAAAUGUUAGCACAGGUGCCAAUCUUUAAAAAAUAAAUCAUUUGGAGAAGGAGUCUGUGGGUUUCAUCAGAUUCUCUGUCCACGGCAGAGAAAAAAGUUGGAAGACUUGUGGGUAGAAGUUUCAGAGUCUGGGCUCGGAAGCAGGUGGCGCAGGUCUGACUUGGCAGUGCCAAUGCCCAGCAGAGCGUGUGACCCUAAGUAAGUGACUUAACUUCUCUGUGCCUCAGUUUCUUCAUCUGUAAAAUGAAGGAAAGAAUAGUGCCUACUGUGGGUUAUUUCACAUAAAGGGUUUAAAGCAGUGUCUCUGGCACAGAGAAAGCUGAGUAAAUGUUAUUAGUAUUAUCUUUGCCGUCAUGAUCAUUGCCAUUGCCUGCCUGCUGAUGUGCAUUUUGAAUACGCAGCCCUGAGUGGCAUGACACAGGUGGCCUGGAAUGACCACAUGCUGAGAAACACACUCUGCAUGGACUAGCCCGGGAUACACCCCCUAAGAUUUAAAGCAGUUUUCCCCGAAGAUUUAUAUAUUUGGAUAUUCAGCAGUGUGGUAAUUAAAACAAUGUUGAAAAGAGCCUGCGUGUUUAUCCUUGGAGGCACGAUUAAGUAGAUGAUAUAUAGCCUUACAGUGGACUAUUAAGGAUCCUUUAAAAGUGGUUUGUUCAGAGAAUUUUUAAUGAAAUGGGGAGACGCUCACCAUAUAACACAAGUGAAAAAGACAAAUCGUACAUACAAUGUAACCUUAAUUUUGAAAAAUACUUCAAUGUAUAGAAAAAGGGACUGGGGAGAAAUAUGCCCAAAGCAUCGCCCCCUCAGUGGCAGCAUGGACAGUUGGUAGGACCUGGGACUGUGCCCUCAGACUGCUUGUUACCAGCUGGACGGAGCAAGUGACCGGUCCUCCCUGGGCCUCACUUCCCUCCGUCGCAGAGUGGAAACACUAGGACAGCGCACCCUCGCGGGAAGCACGCCUUGACCACUGGUUGUUGCGAGCGCUUACAUUCUAUUUUAUAUUGUAUUGUAUUGUAUGUACUAUCGCAGGUUUCUCAGGACGGCAGAGUCGGGAAAGCUUCCAGGAGGGAGAGAGGGAGGGGCCCGGCUUCCCUUGCUCCCUGGUUUCCUGUCCCGUAGACUUGUGUAUGAAGCACGAGAAGCUGGCAGGAGAGUCCACAUAGGAACUCAAGUUGAGGCUGGAAUUGCCUCUGCCAGACAAGAGCCCAGCAGGGCAGGGGUACAGGGGUGGCCGAGGGCACCCACAGAAUCUAACCAUCAGGAACCACAUAUGAUUUCCUGCGGGAAAAGGGGCUUCUUGGUGGUACGAAGUUUGGAACCCUCUUGUGCAUGCCCCCUACAUCUGGUGGCAGAAUCCCUGCUCCUCUGAGACACCCCUAAUGGCUGGCUAUCCCCAGGGUCUGAGAGCUCAGUCCCUCCGCAUUCUCACCCAGCUCUUUUCUCUUUCUUCAUGUCCCCAGCCCAGUGAGACAGGAAGAUGAGGCUGGACUUAGGGGGAGGAAGCAGUUUUUUAGGGCGCACCCUAGACCGUUUUAUUGGCCUCUCUCUGCCUCUCACCCACCCAGGGCACCCAGCUUUGAUGCUGAGGCUCCCAGUGGACCAACCCCAUCAUGGCACUCAUGCCCUGGGUCUAGUCAUCUGGUAACUUGUCUCCUCUCCCCCCAGGUCCUGAGUCCCUCAUAGUCCAGGGUCUGACCCAGAACAGGUGCCAGGUGCGUUCCUUGAAUGAAGCCAUAACUGCUGGGCCCUCUCUGUCCCGAGGUCCCAUGAUUCUAGGGUGAUGACCACUGACAUCCUUCAGCUGAGAGAGAAUCAGAUUCCUCAUGAUGACCUCCUGCUGGCAGCAGACCGAGCAGUGUGUCGUAGUGGUUAGGGUACAGGCUUUGGAGGCAGCCAGACCUGGGUACAGAUCCUGGCUUUGUCACUUUCCAGUUGUGCUAUUUUGGGUGGGUUACUUAAGCUAUUAGAACCUCAGUGUCUUCUUCAUUUGUAAAAGGAAGAGUCAUCCCGCUACAUGAUACACAGUAAACACUCAAGAGAAAGUCACUGUGAUUCUUAGUGUAGUCCAGUGGACACGGGUGGAAUCCUCUAGCCUCCUGGGGUGCUAUUAGGUUGAUGAACCAUAUGAAAUUUUUGACGUAUACAAAUGGCAGUUUCACUUGGCCCGACCUAAUGAUCUGGGUUGGAUUGGGGCCUAAGGAACCCACUGUAUUUACCUGGAAGGGGGUUAAGGGCCACCUCUAUACCGGGCGUCUUACAGACAUUAUGCUAUUUACACUGUCCAACAGCCUGAGAAACAGGCAGUGUGAGGGGCUGGCUGGGGUCAAACUCUUUUUUUAACAAGCACCCCCAAGUUUGAGAACCACUGUGGGGGGUAGGUGUGGUUGUGGCCACGCACUGGCUAAUGAGCUCAUUUGUACACAGUAGAGCACCGACUGCUCACCAGCGCUGUGUUCGGCUUCACCUGUGUGGCCUCAUUUACUUUUCAAAACUGAGACUUGCUGCCCAAAGUCACCUGGCUGGUGAGUGGUGGAGGCAAGAUUCGAACUCAGCUCUGCCCUUCUUGGGAGCCAGGGGAAAUGAACAUAGUUGCUUACAGGCCACAUGACCUCUUUGUCACCUGGUCUUCUUGGUUAGGAAUGGGCAUUCUGGAGUCAAACAAACCUGGGUUCAAAUUCUGACAUCCUCCUUAACCAGCUGGGUAGUUUGGGGCCAGUGACCUAACCUCUCUGAAUGUCAGUUUUCUCUGCUGUGAAAUGGGGUGGUUAAUAAGCUUCAUUCCGUAGGGUUUCCUGAGAACAGAGUGCUGGGGAUUCAGCAAGUGCUCAUUAGUUGUUGGUGCUCAGUUGGAGAACUCCUACUCAUCCCUCAAGACCCAGAGCAGAUGGGAGAAUGGAGGCUGGGAGCCAGGAAGUGACUUGCAGAGUCACACAGCACCGUCGAGCUGUGGAGCCGAGGUUCCAUCCCAGGGACUCUAGAGCCAGUGCCUGUCUUUUCCAUUAAGGAGUGAUUGUUAUUUUUAAUUUUUACCUUACAUGCGUGCAGGAAAAUUCCCAUUUUUGAUGUGGCAUUCUAUGAGUUUUCACUCACGCAUAGGUUCUUGUAACCACCAGCACAGACAGGAUACAGAACGAUUCCGUCACCCCCAAAGAAUUCCCACGGGCUGGCCGGCUCUUAAACGCAGUGGGAUGCUGCUCCCACUUGGAGCUGAAGUUGCCCCUGUGGGCUUCUCUUUUUCUCCAGUGCCUGUUCAGAGAAGCCUCGGGCUGGAGCGUGGACUUUAAUUCCAGGGUCAGGCCCUGUGCAUGCAUUCUCCUCGGUAACAAAGCCGCUUCUGUUUCUGGUGCCCUUGGCAGUUGAGCUGUUCAUUCAGCCAUUUCAAGAGCAUUGUUAUUGUCCAGACACAGAGAGCCUUGAGUGAGGUCACCUUGAUUUAUGACUGUGUGGCCCUGUCUUGGCGUUUUGUCUGUCUGCCUGCCUUGUGUGUCCAUCUGCCUGUUUGCCUCCCACCAGACAUUUCCUGAGAGCUCACUGUCACCAGGCCCUGCCUGGGAGGACUUUGGUGAACCAGACAGUCCUGGCCUCUGCCCCUUGGGGGCUCCCAGGAGAGAGGGGGUGACAGUCACGCAAACAGACCAGCACACCCAGAGAAACAUGUGCUGAGAGAGGGCGGCCCAGGGGCUGUGGGAGCCCAGACGAUGGGGGCCAGACCCAACUUGGAGUCUCCAGCAAGGCUUCCAGAAGGAAGCGACCUCUGAGCUGACACCCGACAGUAAGGGAAGAGUUGCUCAGCAGGCAAAGGGAGAGAAGAUGUUCCCGCCAGAGGCAGUGUCGUGUGUGAGCAGGGCCGGGAGGCAAGGGAGAGGCUGGCCAGGCUGGAGCCGGAGGAGGCCCCCGAAACCCCGCGACGUGCCCUUGCUGUCUUCCCAGCAAGGCCGAAAGCUUCAGGAGCACAGGGGCUUCUGUCUUCCGUGUUAACAGCCGUUUCCCCCGUCCUCGGAAGGGAGCCUGGGACACACGAGGCGUUCGUCUGUAUUUGCUGAAUGAAAGAAUGAGUGAACUGGUGUCUAAGCAGAGGUGAGAGACACGAUUCAACUUUCCCUUAAGAGAGACCACUCAUCUCGCCCACCUCCCGGCGUUGCACCCUCUGCACACAGGUGCAUAGAGACCCUCAGCUCCCCCAGAGCCUUCACUGCAUGCGCCGUGGACAAGAAACAUCAGAACACAGCCCUGAACCGGAGCAUCUUAUCUGCCACUAACACCAUGAGCACUUGUUUUUGGGCCCUGUUCCAAGCAUUCACUUAAUUGAAAAAAUUGAAGAAAAAAGAAAAAUUGGCAGCCGCCACCCGCGGUGUGUCACUUGCCCUGGCGCCUGAGCUGGGUGAUUUCUGACGCUAAUGUGGGGACAGGAAAGCUCUGGCCUGGGGCCGGGAGAGCCAAGGCCUGGCCCUAGAGAGCUGGGAGGAGGAGAUAGGACCUCAGGGGCUGAAGGGCCAGGAUUGAACCCAGCGUGGUCCUCGGUGGAGGGCACGUCACUGCUCUCUGCCCGGGUUUCCUCCCCUCCGACCUGAGGGGAUCCCACUUCCCCAGCAGGCAUCCCUGAGGACCGCAGCUCUGUUUCUAGAGCGCUCAGCACGCGGCCAGCGCAGCAGCUCGUCCCCCGGCACAGUCACUGAUUUUAUCUUGGACCCCCACUCAGCUUGGUCCUGCCUCACUCUGACAUCCCACGGUUGCCUCCUAGGUCUCAGAGGCAUUGUGACGCUUGGUGGCAUUUCUCCAGGAAUAAAUUUAAUGUCCUUUCUCUACGAAGAUAAAUCUGCGCACUUCAGCUCUUCCGGUGGCGAUGCUGUUCUGGGGUGUUGGGAAAUCGAACGAACUCCAGGGUGUUGCAAUCCCAAAAAGAGGCUGGGAGUGCUGACCUACAUGGGCCAGAUGUCGGGCCGACAGCUGGGGAGAGCCGGCAGAUCAGAACCAGAGGGAUCUCGUGGUCUCCACGGGGGGCAGCAGAAUCAUGUUUCCCAUUAGUUCAGCCCUGGACCGGGCCGGCUGCCUCUGCUCUCUCCUGGCUCCCUCUCCCCUCCACCUCUCUCUCUUUCCCUCCCUGCCUCCUACACUCCUCAGACUGUGCUCCUCCACCUUGGGCCCGGGCAGCCUAUUGCCUGAGCGGUGGAUCUGGAGCCCAGCCCGGAAGCUCAGCCAUGUGGGGACUUUAUUGAGGAGGGCGGGAGUCUCACCCACCUUGUGAAGUUCGUUUCUUAAACCGGGGUCUGCAGCCCCCUGGGUGCCCUCGGACGUAUCCCCAGGAGUCACUCUGCAGGAAGUGGAUUUGUCUCGAUCUUGACACUGACACUCCUGCUUGAUUUCAGGGCAGCACGUGCUUUCGUGUUUAGGUUGCUUUGGCUGCCAAGCAGGACGGCCUUCCUUACCCUGGGCUGAGGACUCGCUGCAGAACCUGUGUGGCCCGUGAGCAGAGGCCGCAGCCCCUCGGUGGGCUGCAUGAGAGAGUUUUUCCUCCCUUCACCUAUCAGGGGCCCUGCUGUUUCUCAGAGUGAGGGACAGUGUUCUGGAGCGGAGCUCCCACGUCCUCAGCACCUCCCAGAGGAGCCCGGGGUCUGGCUCCAGCUCUCCUCCCUGAUGUCUGCGUGGCCUGGCACGUCCCUUCCCUGCUCUGACCUCAUAUCCCCAGCUAUAAAAUAAGCAAUCUAAGUUGAAGGAAAGUGGCUUCUGGAGGCCCCAGGACAGGCUGAUCCUCAGAGGGCAAGCUUGCUGUGGCGCAGGCUACAAGACACCUAACGCCGUCCACAAGCCGAUGGGGUUCUUCGUCCUCUCUAUGGCCACU